CCUACGGGAGGCAGCAGUAGGGAAUAUUGCUCAAUGGGGGAAACCCUGAACCAGCAACGCCGCGUGGAGGAUGAAGGUUUUCGGAUUGUAAACUCCUUUUGUUAGAGAAGAUAAUGACGGUAUCUAACGAAUAAGCACCGGCUAACUCUGUGCCAGCAGCCGCGGUAAUACGGAGGGUGCAAGCGUUACUCGGAAUCACUGGGCGUAAAGGGCGCGUAGGCGGGAUAGCAAGUCAGAUGUGAAAUCCUAGGGCUUAACCAUAGAACUGCAGUUGAAACUGUUAUUCUAGAGUAUGGGAGAGGUAGGUGGGAUGCUUGGUGUAGGGGUAAAAUCCGUAGAGAUCAAGAGGAAUACUGAUUGCGAAGGCGGCCUGCUGGAACAUAACUGACGCUGAUGCGCGAAAGCGUGGGGAGCGAACAGGAUUAGAUACCCGUGUAGUC
RNAcentral lists this ribosomal RNA (440 nucleotides) under uncultured bacterium. Its description in RNAcentral is "partial 16S ribosomal RNA". It matches the Rfam family "Bacterial small subunit ribosomal RNA", at positions 338 to 795 of the family's 1533-position model. The record is from RNAcentral.